Molecule: long non-coding RNA, 654 nt
Organism: Oncorhynchus tshawytscha (Chinook salmon)
Lineage: Eukaryota; Metazoa; Chordata; Actinopteri; Salmoniformes; Salmonidae
Source: Ensembl
UCCCUGAUCUGGACAGACGGGAUAGGUGAAAGCAAUUUGACAGAACCCUAAUAGAGGGCUUCCCUUUUCCAGUCCUGUAGAUUUGGAUCAGUGCGGCUGAAGGGAAGAGGUUGACCAAAGGAAGCCACAUUAGACAACUGAGUUGUACCCACAUAGGCUCCUGGUUCUCACCAUUCCCCCAUCGGAUCCAAGGCACUAUGUGACCGACCCCAGGGACCGUAAUAGUGCUAAAUGCUUGACAUGAGCACCUAAUGGGUUAAAAACAGAGCAAACACCAGACGCAUUGACCACAAGUAGCAACACAACCUCUCAUCUGCAGGCCAAUGACAGUAUCAAUUGGUGCUUAUAGGCACUUUUGUCUAAAGACAGUGGAAAACACCUACUGCACAGACAUACAGCAAUUCACAUAUUUCAAAGUACUUUCAAUCAUUUUAGAUGACAAAGCCACAUUUUAAAGCACAAAAAAAACAGUAUUCACUUGACUCCAUGUUAACCCCACAGAACAAAGUUAUACAUGCAGAAUCUGCAUUCAAACCAUUAACUUGUAUUUGCUGAAUAACAGUAAUGUAUUAGCUAGAUGCUUUUGUUUGAAUUUACACUAAUGAAAUACAAAGCAGUUGAAUCAUUGUAGAGCAGCAUAUGCCACAUAACCUA